This 460-nucleotide ribosomal RNA is filed under the name uncultured bacterium. RNAcentral's name for it is "bacterial SSU rRNA". It matches the Rfam family "Bacterial small subunit ribosomal RNA", at positions 30 to 489 of the family's 1533-position model. The record is from RNAcentral.
AUUGAACGCUGGCGGCAUGCCUAACACAUGCAAGUCGAACGGAGGUAGGGGCAACUCUACUUCAGUGGACGGACGGGUGAGGAAUGCGUCGGAAUCUACCCUAUGGUGGGGGAUAACACAGGGAAACUUGUGCUAAUACCGCAUGAUGUCGAGAGACCAAAGCAGGGGACCGCAAGGCCUUGCGCGAUAGGAUGAGCCGACGCCCGAUUAGCUAGUUGGCAGGGUAAUGGCCUACCAAGGCGACGAUCGGUAGCUGGUCUGAGAGGAUGAUCAGCCACACUGGGACUGAGACACGGCCCAGACUCCUACGGGAGGCAGCAGUGGGGAAUAUUGGACAAUGGGCGAAAGCCUGAUCCAGCAAUGCCGCGUGUGUGAGAAGGCCUGCGGGUGUAAAGCACUUUUGUUCGGAAGAAAUCUUCUGGGUUAAUACCUCGGAGGGAUGACGGUACCUGAAGAAUAA